GAUGAACGCUGGCGGCGUGCCUAACACAUGCAAGUCGAGCGGGGGAUAUAAGAGUGCUUGCACGCUUAUAGACCUAGCGGCGGACGGGUGAGUAACGCGUGGGUAACCUGCCCUGUACAGGGGAAUAACAAUGAGAAAUCAUUGCUAAAACCGCAUAAGCACCGAGUGAGGCAUCUUACAGGGAGGAAAUAUUAAUAGGUACAGGAGGGGCCCGGGGCUGAUUAGCUAGUUGGCAGGGUAACGGCCUACCAAGGCGACGAUCAGUAGCCGACCUGAGAGGGUAAUCAGCCACAUUGGGACUGAGACACGGCCCAAACUCCUACGGGAGGCAGCAGUGGGGAAUAUUGCACAAUGGGCGCAAGCCUGAUGCAGCAACGCCGCGUGAAGGAAGAAGGGUUUCGGCUCGUAAACUUCUUUAGGCAGGGACGAAAAGAAUGACGGUACCUGCAGAAUAAGCACCGGCUAACUACGUGCCAGCCGCCGCCGUAAGAC
RNAcentral lists this ribosomal RNA (492 nucleotides) under uncultured bacterium. RNAcentral describes it as "bacterial SSU rRNA". It matches the Rfam family "Bacterial small subunit ribosomal RNA", at positions 28 to 526 of the family's 1533-position model. The record is from RNAcentral.